UGGGCGAACGGGUGAGUAACGCGUGAGGAACCUGCCUCAGAAGGGGGGACAACAGUUGGAAACGACUGCUAAUACCGCAUAAGCCCACGGGUCGGCAUCGACCUGAGGGAAAAGGAGCAAUCCGCUUUGAGAUGGCCUCGCGUCCGAUUAGCUAGUUGGUGAGGUAACGGCCCACCAAGGCGACGAUCGGUAGCCGGACUGAGAGGUUGAACGGCCACAUUGGGACUGAGACACGGCCCAG
RNAcentral lists this ribosomal RNA (241 nucleotides) under uncultured bacterium. RNAcentral's name for it is "partial 16S ribosomal RNA". It matches the Rfam family "Bacterial small subunit ribosomal RNA", at positions 95 to 334 of the family's 1533-position model. The record is from RNAcentral.